This 253-nucleotide ribosomal RNA is filed under the name uncultured bacterium. RNAcentral's name for it is "partial 16S ribosomal RNA". It matches the Rfam family "Bacterial small subunit ribosomal RNA", at positions 524 to 776 of the family's 1533-position model. The record is from RNAcentral.
UACGAAGGGGGCUAGCGUUGCUCGGAAUUACUGGGCGUAAAGCGCACGUAGGCGGUCUUUUAAGUCGGGGGUGAAAUCCUGGAGCUCAACUCCAGAACUGCCUUCGAUACUGGAAGACUUGAGUCCGGGAGAGGUGAGUGGAACUGCGAGUGUAGAGGUGAAAUUCGUAGAUAUUCGCAAGAACACCAGUGGCGAAGGCGGCUCACUAGCCCGGUACUGACGCUGAGGUGCGAAAGCGUGGGGAGCAAACAGG